Molecule: ribosomal RNA, 369 nt
Filed under: uncultured bacterium
Lineage: Bacteria
Description: bacterial SSU rRNA
Rfam family: Bacterial small subunit ribosomal RNA
Source: RNAcentral
UACGAGGGGUGCUAGCGUUGUCCGGAAUAACUGGGCGUAAAGCGUCCGCAGGCGGCUUUUCAAGUCUGCUGUUAAAGCGUGGAGCUUAACUCCAUUAUGGCAGUGGAAACUGAUUGGCUCGAGUAUGGUAGGGGCAGAGGGAAUUCCCGGUGUAGCGGUGAAAUGCGUAGAUAUCGGGAAGAACACCAGUGGCGAAGGCGCUCUGCUGGGCCAUUACUGACGCUCAUGGACGAAAGCCAGGGGAGCGAAAGGGAUUAGAUACCCCUGUAGUCCUGGCCGUAAACGAUGAACACUAGGUGUCGGGGGAUCGCCCCGGUGUCGUAGCUAACGCGUUAAGUGUUCCGCCUGGGGAGUACGCACGCAAGUGUG